This 407-nucleotide ribosomal RNA is filed under the name Staphylococcus sp. RNAcentral describes it as "bacterial SSU rRNA". It matches the Rfam family "Bacterial small subunit ribosomal RNA", at positions 55 to 452 of the family's 1533-position model. The record is from RNAcentral. Lineage: Bacteria; Bacillati; Bacillota; Bacilli; Caryophanales; Staphylococcaceae.
AUGCAGUCGAGCGACAGAUGAGAAGCUUGCUUCUCUGAUGUUAGCGGCGGACGGGUGAGUAACACGUGGGUAACCUACCUAUAAGACUGGGAUAACUCCGGGAAACCGGGGCUAAUACCGGAUAAUAUAUUGAACCGCAUGGUUCAAUGUUGAAAGACGGUUUCGGCUGUCACUUAUAGAUGGACCCGCGCCGUAUUAGCUAGUUGGUAAGGUAACGGCUUACCAAGGCAACGAUACGUAGCCGACCUGAGAGGGUGAUCGGCCACACUGGAACUGAGACACGGUCCAGACUCCUACGGGAGGCAGCAGUAGGGAAUCUUCCGCAAUGGGCGAAAGCCUGACGGAGCAACGCCGCGUGAGUGAUGAAGGUCUUAGGAUCGUAAAACUUUGUUGUUAGGGAAGAACAA